AUUGAACGCUGGCGGCAGGCCUAACACAUGCAAGUCGAACGGUAACAGGAAGCAGCUUGCUGCUUUGCUGACGAGUGGCGGACGGGUGAGUAAUGUCUGGGAAACUGCCUGAUGGAGGGGGAUAACUACUGGAAACGGUAGCUAAUACCGCAUAACGUCGCAAGACCAAAGAGGGGGACCUUCGGGCCUCUUGCCAUCGGAUGUGCCCAGAUGGGAUUAGCUAGUAGGUGGGGUAACGGCUCACCUAGGCGACGAUCCCUAGCUGGUCUGAGAGGAUGACCAGCCACACUGGAACUGAGACACGGUCCAGACUCCUACGGGAGGCAGCAGUGGGGAAUAUUGCACAAUGGGCGCAAGCCUGAUGCAGCCAUGCCGCGUGUAUGAAGAAGGCCUUCGGGUUGUAAAGUACUUUCAGCGGGGAGGAAGGGAGUAAAGUUAAUACCUUUGCUCAUUGACGUUACCCGCAGAAGAAGCACCGGCUAACUACGUG
RNAcentral lists this ribosomal RNA (490 nucleotides) under uncultured bacterium. RNAcentral describes it as "partial 16S ribosomal RNA". It matches the Rfam family "Bacterial small subunit ribosomal RNA", at positions 30 to 507 of the family's 1533-position model. The record is from RNAcentral.